Molecule: transfer RNA, 88 nt
Filed under: Chloroflexi bacterium 13_1_40CM_68_21
Lineage: Bacteria; Bacillati; Chloroflexota
Description: tRNA-Leu
Rfam family: tRNA
About the family: Transfer RNA (tRNA) molecules are approximately 80 nucleotides in length. Their secondary structure includes four short double-helical elements and three loops (D, anti-codon, and T loops). Further hydrogen bonds mediate the characteristic L-shaped molecular structure. tRNAs have two regions of fundamental functional importance: the anti-codon, which is responsible for specific mRNA codon recognition, and the 3' end, to which the tRNAs corresponding amino acid is attached (by aminoacyl-tRNA synthetases). tRNAs cope with the degeneracy of the genetic code in two manners: having more than one tRNA (with a specific anti-codon) for a particular amino acid; and 'wobble' base-pairing, i.e. permitting non-standard base-pairing at the 3rd anti-codon position.
Source: RNAcentral
GCCGGAGUGACGAAAUGGCAGACGUUAGAGACUCAAAAUCUCUUGGGCCGAAAGGUCCGUGAGGGUUCGACUCCCUCCUCCGGCACCG